UGGGGAAUAUUGGACAAUGGGCGAAAGCCUGAUCCAGCCAUGCCGCGUGUGUGAAGAAGGCCUUUUGGUUGUAAAGCACUUUAAGCGAGGAGGAGGCUACUUAGAUUAAUACUCUAGGAUAGUGGACGUUACUCGCAGAAUAAGCACCGGCUAACUCUGUGCCAGCAGCCGCGGUAAUACAGAGGGUGCUAGCGUUAAUCGGAUUUACUGGGCGUAAAGCGUGCGUAGGCGGCUUUUUAAGUCGGAUGUGAAAUCCCUGAGCUUAACUUAGGAAUUGCAUUCGAUACUGGGAAGCUAGAGUAUGGGAGAGGAUGGUAGAAUUCCAGGUGUAGCGGUGCAAUGCGUAGAGAUCUGGAGGAAUACCGAUGGCGAAGGCAGCCAUCUGGCCUAAUACUGACGCUGAGGUACGAAAGCAUGGGGAGCAAACAGG
This 430-nucleotide ribosomal RNA is filed under the name bacterium. RNAcentral describes it as "partial 16S ribosomal RNA". It matches the Rfam family "Bacterial small subunit ribosomal RNA", at positions 355 to 776 of the family's 1533-position model. The record is from RNAcentral.